RNAcentral lists this ribosomal RNA (371 nucleotides) under Limnodrilus maumeensis. RNAcentral's name for it is "partial 12S ribosomal RNA". It matches the Rfam family "Bacterial small subunit ribosomal RNA", at positions 875 to 1415 of the family's 1533-position model. Lineage: Eukaryota; Metazoa; Annelida; Clitellata; Tubificida; Naididae. The record is from RNAcentral.
UCUAAGACAUAAAACCAAACCGGAUACUACAAACCCUGUUUAAAAUUCAAAGAACUUGGCGGUAUCUUAUACAGUCAGGGGAACCUGUCCCUUAAUUCGAUAAUCCACGAACGUCAUACCUUUACUUGUUCUCAGCUUGUGUAUUGCCGUCGAAUGUAUACCUUAAAAAGAAAGUGUACAAUAAUGAUUCCACUGACGUCAGGUCAAAGUGCAGCCAAUGUAAAGGAGGAGAUGGGUUACAACUUUAACAAAAGCCACUAACCUAUGAAAACAGGUAAAAAAGAUGGACUUGAAAGUAAUAAUUAAACCAAAAAAUUAUGAAUAGGAAUCUAAGAUAUGCACACAUCGCCCGUCGCUCUCGUCGAAAGAUG